Molecule: ribosomal RNA, 729 nt
Filed under: Triticum aestivum (bread wheat)
Lineage: Eukaryota; Viridiplantae; Streptophyta; Magnoliopsida; Poales; Poaceae
Description: partial small subunit ribosomal RNA
Source: RNAcentral
UACUUAGUCCAGAUGGCGGCUGAGGAGAGGGAGGGACAAGGGCUAAGUCUAGGUACGGGUCGGAGGGAGGGUCGCGCCGACGGUGUGGGAGCUAGAGGGCGCGGCGGCAGGGUUGCUAGAGGGCGAGGUAGAAGCAGAGGGUGGUAGAUAGCGAGGAGGUGGCGGGGUGGGAGAGGGGGAUACGUCGGAUGAGUCUAGACGCUACCCCCGUGGGCGCCGCCAUCGCCGCGAGGCCGUAGGCGCAGUUCCAGUCGGGGAACGAGCAGAAGUACCCACACCACCAGCUCCUUCCACCAACUCCAGCCGCUCUAUUUGCAAGAGCGGAUGGGCGACCGGUCCUGGUUCCUGCCGACGGAGCUGUGAGGCAGAGGAAGUGUUAGAGCGCGACCCUUUCCUCCCCCACCGGCGACAAAAGAAGCCGUGAGGAACCGGAAAAAACGUAGCGGUGUCUCAUAUAUACUUUGACUUUUCUACCACCUCCUCUAUUGACUUCAGCUCCCACGCCAAUUACUGUAGUUUACACAACUACUUUAUCUCGGAAGACUUCUUGUCUCCUCUUUUUAUGUCUUUCUGCAAGUAUAGGAAUUUUCUUUAUCGAAGUGUGUGCUGUUAUCGACGUGCUGGAUGCUUGCUACAAGGGACUGGUUGUCGCGAGAACGGUCGUACGAGCGACAACCGCGACGGUACCGUCUUAACACGUUCGUAGCCCGUACGUCAACAACAUUAACU